UCUGUAAAGGCACACACUCAUUUCAAAUGUCAAUCCACUGAAACACGGCACGUCAAGGCGUUGUUCAUUAAUUUAUUAUUUAACAAAAAGCAAAGUUUAGUAAAAAAAUUCUGCAGUAAUGUUUUAAAAAUUGUUUUAAACCCUUUGUAAAGGGUUUGCCUUACCUAAAUGAAUAGUUCGUAGAACUACAAAAUGAGUUUCAAAUUCACGAUUGAAUAAUAAUGUAAUAUAAUGCAAUAUAAUUUAAUGACAUUUUAAAUUGUUUAUGUAGUGUUUUAAUUCAAGAUGCUUAUUUAAGUGCUGCGUGACGUGUUUAUAAUGGGCGUGCGCUGCUGCGCGCUGAGUUGCCAUGGAAACGGGCCAGCAACACCAACUGACAAGUUUAAGAACUCCGUCUUUCACUGUUAUUUUCACUGCUUUCAGAAAUGGUUCCGGAGUCUUCGAAAAAGUCCGUUAAGUUAGCAUCUCAACCGUUUUCCGAAGAGAUUCUUCCAUGCUGAUGGCCGUGCAGCAGAAUUGGAGCGGAACUCAAUCAUACACUAAUGUUCAAAAGUUUGAGGAUCCUACCCAGCCCCAAUCAUUUAUCAGAAGGACUGUGAAAACGGGAAGUGUUUAAACCACCAGUGGUGGUUUCCACAGGAUAGUAGUGGAUGAGAGGGGUACUGACAUUAAAGGAUUAGUUCACUUUCAAAUUAAAAUUUCCUGAUAAUUUACUCACCCCCAUGUCAUCCAAGAUCUCCAUGACCUUCUCUCU
Molecule: long non-coding RNA, 754 nt
Organism: Megalobrama amblycephala (Wuchang bream)
Lineage: Eukaryota; Metazoa; Chordata; Actinopteri; Cypriniformes; Xenocyprididae
Exons: 4
Source: RefSeq, a predicted model, not a curated record